RNAcentral lists this unclassified non-coding RNA (1657 nucleotides) under Hevea brasiliensis (rubber tree). The record is from RNAcentral. Lineage: Eukaryota; Viridiplantae; Streptophyta; Magnoliopsida; Malpighiales; Euphorbiaceae.
UUUUUAUGUUGGCACAUGAUACAUUCAGUUGCAUUAAAAUAUAACUCAUUCAGUAUACAAACAAGUUCUCCAGAUUUAACUUUCAAAUAUCCUAAACAAUACCGAAAACUGUGGUUCUUUAAUACCUUAUUCUCUGACCAAAUUUAAAAGAAAAAAAAAAGAGCCAAAUAGUACACAUUCACAUGAUGGAGCAUGGUUCUACUGAAACACCAGAGUAAAAGAGCUACUCCAACAUUAGCACAAACAAUCACACAAAUACACAAAAGGAUGUAGCUAUAUAACACCUCGUUGACUUCACAGUCGUAUUUCAACAGCUACUCGAGAAGGCAUAGCACAGUAGAAUCAACAAACAAAAGGAGCAUCAACGUGAUGAUCAUCGCAGUAGAGGCCUGGGCGUUGUGUGAAGCCUUGUUUCUGCAUCUUUUUCCUAGCCUUGCUAACAAGCUCCUCAUUGGUGACUGGACCAUCUGAUUCGGCCAGGAUUUCCUGAAUUGCGUUGCUUAGAGCACCAUAAGACUCUCCGCCUGCAGGGGUUGCAUCCGCAGAUGUUUGGUCUGUUUGGCACCCACUGACGAGAAUGCCACUGUCUGGAAGACCUCUAUUACCUGAACCGGCAUAAACCUCCUGUUUACCUUCAACGUGUGUUUCCAUGGCCGGUUUUGCAUAGCUCUCAUCAUUUUCAUCAAGUUUCUGUUUCAGAAACUCUUGAGCCAAGUUACCAACCAUACCCAUGAACCCGCCGCCUCCACCCUGCUCGUUAUUCUUUUGUAGCUUGUUAAAAAUGAUUUUCAUGAAUUUCUUCACCUUAGGACUUGCAUCUUCGCCAAAGACGUCAAAGAGUGUUGGCCUAAGUUUCCCAACAUCAAUAUCAUCCUUACCAGUUUUCUGCUUAAGUAUCUCGAUGAGAGUGGAAAGAGGCAAGGACUUGCUCUUCACAUGAACUUGAUCACCGUCUUCCGUCUCAAUCACACUACUCUCAGCAAAAUUCUCCUCUUCUUCCUCACGGCGAUGGUGGCGACCUGGAAGGUGGAUACCCCGGGAUUCAAAUGCAUCUUCAACAUUUCGACGUAAGAAAUUCUUGAAUCCAAAACCAGAUCCAUGGCCUUCAUCGUCAUCACCUUGCUUGUGGCUCUCCCCUAUCUGCUCUUUAGCUUUGUCAAUGAGGCCACCACUGUGGCAUGAGUCAGAUACAAUUGUGAUCUGGCAACCUUCAGGAACUUUGUCAACGAGCUCUCUAAAAUCAUCAUCUGUAAUAAGAUUCAUAUCACAAGGAACAAUACACUCAUCAAAACCAGUAUCAUCUUCUUCACCCGUUUCAGCAGGUAACCUAGUUCCAUGUCCACUGUAAUGCACAAACAAACAAUCCCCUGAUUCAGCAGAUCCAACAAGAUCCGAUAAAGCUUUACGUAUAUUCCGACCAGUUGGUUGUGUGUAAGAAUCAUCAGUAUCUAUAAGAACAGUAAUGUCUUCCUCAGCAAAUCCGUAACGAUUAAGUAAACAAUUGUACAUUCGCUUAACAUCGUUAAUACAACCUCUAAGUUCUGCUUUUGUUCCUGGAUAAUUGAUUCCAAUUAAUACUGCUUUUUUCGCCAUUGAAAUUUUUCAAGAAAAAAAAUUGAUCUUUUUAGUUUAGAGAAUUUUUUGGGAUUGUUGAUUG